Molecule: ribosomal RNA, 390 nt
Filed under: uncultured bacterium
Lineage: Bacteria
Description: bacterial SSU rRNA
Rfam family: Bacterial small subunit ribosomal RNA
Source: RNAcentral
GACGAACGCUGGCGGCGUGCUUAACACAUGCAAGUCGAGCGGUAAGGCCCUUUCGGGGGUACGACGAGCGGCGAACGGGUGAGUAACACGUGGGUGACCUGCCCUCAGCUCUGGGAUAAGCCUGGGAAACCGGGUCUAAUACUGGAUAUGACUCCAUGACGCAUGUUGUGGGGUGGAAAGCCUUGUGCGGCUGAGGAUGGGCCCGCGGCCUAUCAGCUUUGUUGGUGGGGUGANGGCCCUACCAAGGCGACGACGGGUAGCCGGCCUGAGAGGCGACCGGCCACACUGGGACUGAGACACGGCCCAGACUCCUACGGGAGGCAGCAGUGGGGAAUCUUGCGCAAUGGGCGAAAGCCUGACGCAGCGACGCCGCGUGAGGGAUGACGGCCU